RNAcentral lists this long non-coding RNA (738 nucleotides) under Camelus dromedarius (Arabian camel). RNAcentral describes it as "lncRNA (ENSCDRG00005019008.1)". Lineage: Eukaryota; Metazoa; Chordata; Mammalia; Artiodactyla; Camelidae. The record is from RNAcentral.
AAGACUUUUGCUGUAUUAACAGAUGUGAAGUGGCAACCAGGUAGACAGUUUUGGGAGUUCUGUUUUUACUGAAACCGUAUGGUAAGAGAAGCCAGUACAAGGUAAUAAUAUUUUGUUAUCUGCAAUGCCAGUCUUCAGAUGAUUGUUUUUCUUGGAAAUAGCUAAACUGUUGGGGAAAAUUAAACAUUGAGAUCGAAGUUCUAGUGACUGUUGAUAAAACAAGGGAAAUAAACCAUUUUUAUAAUUACCUUUAAAACAUACCGAUAGCCUUCUAACAUUACCAGUGAGACAUUGUUCAUUAGGACUUGGUUAUUUCCCUAUCACAUGACUGAGGAUUAGUAACAGGAAGGGAAAGCCCCAUUCUCGUUCCUAGUGUUUGAAUCUAGUGUUUAAUCUUCGAUCCUAACAAUUCACAUCACUGCCCUCUUCUUGAUGCUGAGUAUUUGGCAGGUACUUAACAAAUCCUGGUUGAUUCCUGAAAACCUGAGGUAGAAGAUUAUGAUUUCAAUUAAAUUAAGGACUGGCCUCAGUGGAGAGAAGUGUAUUCUUGGAGAACAGGAGAAGCAGCGGGGUUGGUGCAAGGCUGACGAGUGCGGUUCAGGUGAAACAUUCACAUGGAAAAUCUCCCUCCCCUUCUUGUCCUCAUCUGCAAAGACACCCAUUCCCCGUGCCAUAGGUAAGUAACAUUCCUAAUUUUUUAUGUGUCCUUCCAGAAUUACAUGUGCAUAUGUAAGUAAA